AUUGAACGCUGGCGGCAGGCCUAACACAUGCAAGUCGAGCGGUAGCACAGAGAGCUUGCUCUCGGGUGACGAGCGGCGGACGGGUGAGUAAUGUCUGGGAAACUGCCUGAUGGAGGGGGAUAACUACUGGAAACGGUAGCUAAUACCGCAUAAUGUCGCAAGACCAAAGUGGGGGACCUUCGGGCCUCAUGCCAUCAGAUGUGCCCAGAUGGGAUUAGCUAGUAGGUGGGGUAACGGCUCACCUAGGCGACGAUCCCUAGCUGGUCUGAGAGGAUGACCAGCCACACUGGAACUGAGACACGGUCCAGACUCCUACGGGAGGCAGCAGUGGGGAAUAUUGCACAAUGGGCGCAAGCCUGAUGCAGCCAUGCCGCGUGUGUGAAGAAGGCCUUCGGGUUGUAAAGCACUUUCAGCGGGGAGGAAGGCGGUGAGGUUAAUAACCUCACCGAUUGACGUUACCCGCAGAAGAAGCACCGGCUAACUCCGUGCCAGCAGCCGCGGUAAUACGGAGGGUGCAAGCGUUAAUCGGAAUUACUGGGCGUAAAGCGCACGCAGGCGGUCUGUCAAGUCGGAUGUGAAAUCCCCGGGCUCAACCUGGGAACUGCAUUCGAAACUGGCAGGCUAGAGUCUUGUAGAGGGGGGUAGAAUUCCAGGUGUAGCGGUGAAAUGCGUAGAGAUCUGGAGGAAUACCGGUGGCGAAGGCGGCCCCCUGGACAAAGACUGACGCUCAGGUGCGAAAGCGUGGGGAGCAAACAGGAUUAGAUACCCUGGUAGUCCACGCCGUAAACGAUGUCGAUUUGGAGGUUGUGCCCUUGAGGCGUGGCUUCCGGAGCUAACGCGUUAAAUCGACCGCCUGGGGAGUACGGCCGCAAGGUUAAAACUCAAAUGAAUUGACGGGGGCCCGCACAAGCGGUGGAGCAUGUGGUUUAAUUCGAUGCAACGCGAAGAACCUUACCUGGUCUUGACAUCCACAGAACUUUCCAGAGAUGGAUUGGUGCCUUCGGGAACUGUGAGACAGGUGCUGCAUGGCUGUCGUCAGCUCGUGUUGUGAAAUGUUGGGUUAAGUCCCGCAACGAGCGCAACCCUUAUCCUUUGUUGCCAGCGGUCCGGCCGGGAACUCAAAGGAGACUGCCAGUGAUAAACUGGAGGAAGGUGGGGAUGACGUCAAGUCAUCAUGGCCCUUACGACCAGGGCUACACACGUGCUACAAUGGCAUAUACAAAGAGAAGCGACCUCGCGAGAGCAAGCGGACCUCAUAAAGUAUGUCGUAGUCCGGAUUGGAGUCUGCAACUCGACUCCAUGAAGUCGGAAUCGCUAGUAAUCGUAGAUCAGAAUGCUACGGUGAAUACGUUCCCGGGCCUUGUACACACCGCCCGUCACACCAUGGGAGUGGGUUGCAAAAGAAGUAGGUAGCUUAACCUUCGGGAGGGCGCUUACCACUUUGUGAUUCAUGACUGGGGUG
This 1462-nucleotide ribosomal RNA is filed under the name Klebsiella pneumoniae. RNAcentral's name for it is "bacterial SSU rRNA". It matches the Rfam family "Bacterial small subunit ribosomal RNA". The record is from RNAcentral. Lineage: Bacteria; Pseudomonadati; Pseudomonadota; Gammaproteobacteria; Enterobacterales; Enterobacteriaceae. RNAcentral also lists the same sequence under 1 other name.